AGUAAUGUAAAAUUCACGACCGCGAUACCUGCAAUGACCGCAAUAGCAUCCGUUAUGUCCGCAACCGCGAUAAACGCAAUGCGACCGAAAACGCGACCGCGACCGCAAUUUAAAUCCCUGGUUUCAACACCUCACCUCCUUUUGCAAUUUGUAUAUCUCACUGCCCCAACCUCCACUCCAUGCCGCCAAACAUGUUCCCUCCCUCUCUUUCUCGUUUGUACAUUAAGAGAUGUCCAUUGCUGAAGGAACGUCGUGAAAAGGAGAAAGGUAAAGACUGGCCCAAUAUUUCCCACCUCCCUUUAUUUGAAUUGACGGUCAACUCAUUAUAUAGAAGGGGCAGUGACUGAGAAAACAAAUGUCCUGCCGCAGGUAUUCCAUUCAUUUUCAUUGACCCUCAUCCUUUCUUUUUCUUCACUAAUUUAUUUCUUGAUUCCUUUACUUUCAUUACAAAAGUACUUUUUCCUUUUUUUCUACAGACAGAAACUUAAGAAAUGAAUAAGUAGAUGGAACUUGGGAUCAUAAAUGUGGGUGAUUUGUGGGUUAAUUUCCAUUUCCAUCUUUCUGUAAAUUGGAGUUCAUGGAUUCUGAUUUGACUGCAUUUUGAGGGACUAUUUCGCGAUAUGCACAAGGUAAAAAGGUCGAGAUUUUGC
Molecule: long non-coding RNA, 650 nt
Filed under: Gossypium barbadense (sea-island cotton)
Lineage: Eukaryota; Viridiplantae; Streptophyta; Magnoliopsida; Malvales; Malvaceae
Description: long non-coding RNA (GBAR_LNC004178)
Source: RNAcentral